AUUGAACGCUGGCGGCAGGCCUAACACAUGCAAGUCGAACGGUAGCACAGAGAGCUUGCUCUCGGGUGACGAGUGGCGGACGGGUGAGUAACGUCUGGGAAACUGCCCGAUGGAGGGGGAUAACUACUGGAAACGGUAGCUAAUACCGCAUAACGUCGCAAGACCAAAGUGGGGGACCUUCGGGCCUCACACCAUCGGAUGUGCCCAGAUGGGAUUAGCUAGUAGGUGGGGUAAUGGCUCACCUAGGCGACGAUCCCUAGCUGGUCUGAGAGGAUGACCAGCAACACUGGAACUGGGACACGGUCCAGACUCCUACGGGAGGCAGCAGUGGGGAAUAUUGCACAAUGGGCGCAAGCCUGAUGCAGCCAUGCCGCGUGUAUGAAGAAGGCCUUCGGGUUGUAAAGUACUUUCAGCGGGGAGGAAGGCGGUGAAGUUAAUAGCUUCACCGAUUGACGUUACCCGCAGAAGAAGCACCGGCUAACUCCGUGCCAGCCGCCGCAGUAA
RNAcentral lists this ribosomal RNA (504 nucleotides) under uncultured bacterium. RNAcentral describes it as "partial 16S ribosomal RNA". It matches the Rfam family "Bacterial small subunit ribosomal RNA", at positions 30 to 523 of the family's 1533-position model. The record is from RNAcentral.